This is a long non-coding RNA of Hemiscyllium ocellatum (epaulette shark), 545 nucleotides long. RefSeq lists it as uncharacterized. Lineage: Eukaryota; Metazoa; Chordata; Chondrichthyes; Orectolobiformes; Hemiscylliidae. The record is from RefSeq and is a predicted model, not a curated record. The transcript is spliced from 3 exons.
AUAUCUUUGGCAGGAAAGAGGGGUGAAUCGGCUGUCCACCCCUUGCCUUGCCUCCACUGAAAGCCGCAAAAGCUGCUCCUCUGUUGGCAGCUGACAUCACGCAUGCGCAGAUCACCAUGAAGACCAGUACCAACAACGUGCAUAUGCAGAAUGGCACAGAGACUUUGGUGCGCACAUUAUGCAUGCGCAAAACACUGAGGAGAUUUCGGUGUGGACAUCAGCACAUGUGCAGAAUGAAGCAUGUGAACCCAUGAUCCCCGCUGGAAUCGCACUAUUGAAAACAGAGGUUGAAAGGUUCAGACAUCCUGUUGCUGGUACUUUUCAGCACCAGAAAAUAUACUAAAUUCAUCACUGUGGAAUAAAUUUAUCAAUCUCAUGCUCCCAGCAGGGAUAUUCACCUCCAAGGCUGAGGGAAGAUGGUGCUAUAGUACAAAUAUCACUGGAUUAUCAUCUAGAACCUCAAGCUAAUGUUCUGGAGACAUGGAUUCAAAGCCCGUCAUGACAUAUGGUGAAUGCAAUAAAAAUCUGGAAUAAAAGGCUAGCCU